AUUGAACGCUAGCGGGAUGCUUUACCCAUGCAAGUCGAACGGCAGCGCAAGGAAGCUUGCUUUCUUGGCGGCGAGUGGCGAACGGGUGAGUAACAUAUCGGAACGUGCCCAGUAGCGGGGGGAUAACUACGCGAAAGCGUGGCUAAUACCGCAUACGCCCUAAGGGGGAAAGAGGGGGGAUCUUCGGACCUUUCACUAUUGGAGCGGCCGAUAUCGGAUUAGCUAGUUGGUGGGGUAAAGGCCUACCAAGG
RNAcentral lists this ribosomal RNA (251 nucleotides) under uncultured bacterium. RNAcentral's name for it is "partial 16S ribosomal RNA". It matches the Rfam family "Bacterial small subunit ribosomal RNA", at positions 30 to 273 of the family's 1533-position model. The record is from RNAcentral.